This 468-nucleotide ribosomal RNA is filed under the name uncultured bacterium. Its description in RNAcentral is "partial 16S ribosomal RNA". It matches the Rfam family "Bacterial small subunit ribosomal RNA", at positions 28 to 507 of the family's 1533-position model. The record is from RNAcentral.
GACGAACGCUGGCGGCGUGCUUAACACAUGCAAGUCGAACGGAAAGGCCCUGCUUUUGUGGGGUGCUCGAGUGGCGAACGGGUGAGUAACACGUGAGUAACCUGCCCUUGACUUUGGGAUAACUUCAGGAAACUGGGGCUAAUACCGGAUAGGAGCUCCUGCUGCAUGGUGGGGGUUGGAAAGUUUCGGCGGUUGGGGAUGGACUCGCGGGUUACCAGCUUGUUGGUGGGGUAGUGGCUUACCAAGGCUUUGACGGGUAGCCGGCCUGAGAGGGUGACCGGCCACAUUGGGACUGAGAUACGGCCCAGACUCCUACGGGAGGCAGCAGUGGGGAAUAUUGCACAAUGGGGGGAAGCCUGAUGCAGCAACGCCGCGUGCGGGAUAACGGCCUUCGGGUUGUAAACAGCUUUCGCCUGUGACGAAGCGUGAGUGACGGUAAUGGGUAAAGAAGCACCGGCUAACUACGUG